UACGUAGGGUCCGAGCGUUGUCCGGAAUUACUGGGCGUAAAGAGCUCGUAGGUGGUUUGUCGCGUUGUUCGUGAAAACUCACAGCUUAACUGUGGGCGUGCGGGCGAUACGGGCAGACUAGAGUACUGCAGGGGAGACUGGAAUUCCUGGUGUAGCGGUGAAAUGCGCAGAUAUCAGGAGGAACACCGGUGGCGAAGGCGGGUCUCUGGGCCGAUAUGACGCUGAGGAGCGAAAGCGUGGGGAGCAAACAGG
RNAcentral lists this ribosomal RNA (252 nucleotides) under uncultured bacterium. Its description in RNAcentral is "partial 16S ribosomal RNA". It matches the Rfam family "Bacterial small subunit ribosomal RNA", at positions 524 to 776 of the family's 1533-position model. The record is from RNAcentral.